This 292-nucleotide unclassified non-coding RNA is filed under the name Hevea brasiliensis (rubber tree). The record is from RNAcentral. Lineage: Eukaryota; Viridiplantae; Streptophyta; Magnoliopsida; Malpighiales; Euphorbiaceae.
AAGACAGCCUAUCUUGAUAUUUGUGAUGACACAAGCUAUGCAACACGAGCAAAGUCCUAUAUGAAUAUGGCACUGGAAGCCAAUAUUCCUGCCAUAACUACUGCUGGAAUCUACCCAGGAGUGAGCAACGUGAUGGCAGCAGAGCUUGUUCGCACUGCAAAACUUGAAAGCGAGGGUGAACUAGAGAGGCUUAGAUUCUACUACUAUACUGCUGGCACUGGUGGUGCUGGACCUACUAUUUUAGCUACUAGUUUUUUGCUUCUUGGAGAGGAUGUAAUUGCAUAUAAUAAAG